UACGGAGGGUGCAAGCGUUGUCCGGAUUUAUUGGGUUUAAAGGGUGCGUAGGCGGCUAUUUAAGUCAGUGGUGAAAUCCAUCAGCUCAACUGAUGAACUGCCAUUGAUACUGAAUAGCUUGAGUACAGUCGAGGUAGGCGGAAUUGACAGUGUAGCGGUGAAAUGCAUAGAUAUUGUCAAGAACACCGAUUGCGAAGGCAGCUUACUAGGCUGUAACUGACGCUGAGGCACGAAAGUGUGGGGAUCAAACAGG
RNAcentral lists this ribosomal RNA (253 nucleotides) under uncultured prokaryote. Its description in RNAcentral is "partial 16S ribosomal RNA". It matches the Rfam family "Bacterial small subunit ribosomal RNA", at positions 524 to 776 of the family's 1533-position model. The record is from RNAcentral.